GGGAAUGAAUUUAGCCACAUCUUAGCAUUCCGCCCAAAGAGAAAGGAAACAAGAUAAGUGUGAUAGCGUCAUCUGGAACAUUAUGAAUCUUCAUUGUAUUACAAAUCUCUACGAAAGUGGUUAGAUGUUCAUACGGAUUCUCAUGAGCUAAGCCAUUGAACCGAUUGCAUUGCACCAAGUAAAUGAGCGCAUGCUUCAUCUCUAUGCUGGUGGCAUUGACCCUUGGCCUAGCAAUACUGUUAAAAUGGAGAGGGCUAGUGACUGUCGAAUAAUCCUUCAGAGUACGUCUAACUGGAC
Molecule: long non-coding RNA, 297 nt
Filed under: Vigna radiata
Lineage: Eukaryota; Viridiplantae; Streptophyta; Magnoliopsida; Fabales; Fabaceae
Description: long non-coding RNA (VRAD_LNC015843)
Source: RNAcentral